CAGAGGUAGAGAGGCAGAGGCAGAGAGGCAGAGAGGCAGAGAGGCAGAGGCAGAGGCAGAGAGGCAGAGGCAGAGAGAGAGAGGCAGAGAGAGAGAGGCAGAGAGGCAGAGAGGCAGAGAGGCAGAGAGGCAGAGAGGCAGAGAGGCAGAGGCAGAGAGGCAGAGAGGCAGAGAGGCAGAGAGGCAGAGGCAGAGAGGCAGAGGCAGAGGCAGAGGCAGAUUUCUGAGGUGGAGGCCAGCCUGGUCUACAGAGCAAGUUCCAGGACAGCCAGGGCUACACAGAGAAACACUGUCUCAAAAAA
Molecule: long non-coding RNA, 302 nt
Filed under: Cricetulus griseus (Chinese hamster)
Lineage: Eukaryota; Metazoa; Chordata; Mammalia; Rodentia; Cricetidae
Description: lncRNA (ENSCGRG00015041353.1)
Source: RNAcentral